GUGCGGGUUGCGCGCUGCCACCAACUGACUGUGGAGGCUGGAAGCCAAACUGGGUCCUCUUAAGUGCUUCAGGUGACUCUGUCACCCCCUCUGUCACUGUGACUUGCGCUUGCCUCUUGGGAGUCGUGGCGGUGGACGGCCUGGAAUCCGAGAAACGGAAACAUGGUGAGUUGUGGGGCCCAGUAUCGGCCAUGAGCACACCCUGGCCUCCCCGCGGCGGACCUGGAUCCCUCGUCUGCGGAGGCGGGGCGCAGCGUCGGGGCUGGGCCAGCAGUCGGGGAGCGGCGGUUUUUGCUCUAAGUUGUGCUGUGACCGCAAAAGGUCACUGGGGCAGCGGAAACUCGGUCUCCGAGGCCUCUUGGAAUCUCAUGUUUGGUGAUGAAAAUAGAAGAGAAACCCUCUAGUUCCUCGUCAUGGUUUUAUUCACUGGGACCUCAUGGAGUGCUGUGAACAGUAGGUAAUAAGGACAGAGAGCAAAGGUUUUCUCACAAGGAAUGGGUGAAAACCAUAACGUGUGUUUCAUUUAUAGGCAUUGGGUCAUUUUCCAACAUACUCUGGACCCUGCCAUUAGAGAGCAAUAGCAUGUAAUGUGCUCACAAUGAAGAUGUAUAUAAAUCACAUCUGCGUAUUCAUGAUGCUGUAGGUUUAUGAGGAAGUCAGUGUGGACAGAGAGUUGGUUUCUGAUGAUCAAGUCAUGGAAUCGAGGUUUGGCGAUGACAGAAUCAGACAUCGCCUUUCUAUCCGUAGACUAUAGUCUGGCAAUGUCAGGCUCACACAUCCUACCGUAUCCACAUUUGGCUAUUUUAGGACUCAGUGGUUUUUGAGGAUGUGGCCGUGAACUUCACCCUGGAGGAGUGGGCCUUACUGGAUCUUUCCCAGAAGAAACUCUAUAGAGAUGUGAUGCGAGAGACCUUGAGGAACCUGGCCUUAGUAGGUAAGGGUGACACCUUUCCUUCACUUUGUCAGAGAACAAGUUUUUCCUGCCCGUCAGCAUUGUUCUAAGAUGUAGAAUGUGGAAAGGGGGCACAUUGGUGAAUAAGCUAGGCGUGGUCGCAGCUCAUUGUAGCGCUAGAAUCUGAUAUUUUUGGUGUAAUUUCUAAUGCUUUGGAGUCAUUUUUCUGGGUUUGCAUUUUAGGGAGAAAAUGGGAAGGUCAUGCCAUUGAAGAUGAGUACAAAAAUCCGGGGAGGAAACCAAGGUGAGUCUCUCACAAUAGAAUAGAAAGUAACUGUUUCAUGUCAGAGUCCUGGUAUAUUGUGAAAUUUUAAAAACAAGAAAAAUAAAUAAGCUUGUCUACAAUUUAAAAAAAUUUUU
RNAcentral lists this long non-coding RNA (1312 nucleotides) under Sus scrofa (pig). Its description in RNAcentral is "lncRNA (ENSSSCG00025066889.1)". Lineage: Eukaryota; Metazoa; Chordata; Mammalia; Artiodactyla; Suidae. The record is from RNAcentral.